GUGUGAUCCAAUAAAAGUGCAUCAGCUCUGCAUGUAUUUCUCCUCACAAGGUCAGCGCUGUUGAGAUUUAGAAGUUGAACAGAUGUCUCUAGUUGAGACUAUGAGGUGGUUAAAAUGUGCAGAAGCAAAAAAAAAAAGAUGCACUGCAUAGAAGAAAUAGAUACAUAGCUAUACUUGAAACAAGCUCCAGGCUCUGUAAUCCAGAAACAACACCUACUUGUUUGCUAAUUUAAGAUAGCAUUAUACAGAUUUCAACAAGCUGGAAGGCCUGGACAAAAUACAGGAACAGGCUUUUUAAGGAAGGAACAAGGCUUUAAGGAAGUUGAAGCAGCCAAAACAUAUACCAUAACAAAGAUAACAGUUCAGCUUUUAUUCUAUUUUAGAUUGACUUAACAUCUACACAAAACAUUACACCUUAUCUGAACAAGGAAAUUUGCAUGAAAGGUUUUUUUUUUUAUGUAUGGCAAUUUGUCUAUCAUAUAACCUAACCAUAAAGAAGUACGUAGUAAUCCAUCAUUCUACAGAAUCAGAAUACUGUACAUAAUAGCAAUAGAUCAUGUAGAGAAUUCUUGUGGCUUGAUCAACUAUUGGUUUUCCUGAACUUUGGGGGCUUCUGCAUUACUAUAGCCUGCAGCCAGUUUAUCUUUUCUCUCUCUCUUUCCAUGGGUUUUAGUUAUGAACCAAUCUUGUAAAACUACAGAAAAAUAUAUGAAGACAUAAAAAAAUACUAAGCUUAUUUCUUUCUCUUUUAGUUGUAGUAACAUUCUACAUGGCUAUUUAAUUACUCUGCUUGAAAGAUCCACUAAAGAAAGGUAUCCAGAACACAGGUUCAUUCAUUCACAUUUCCCAGCAUGAAUCCAUAUUUGUCAACUUUUUUACUUUACAUUUGGAUUAGGUGGAGGUAAAGGAGCAUGACCCUUUAGAAGAUAUAGACACAGUGCUGAAUAUUUAAAUGAAGAAAUCCAAAAUUAUACCGAAAGCAUUAUAUGCUGUCUGUGUUGUCAAGCAUUAGAUGAAGCACAGCAGUUCUACGUUGUAGGUCUUUACUGAUGCCAGUGGUCAGCUGAGUUCAGAAUUUAAGGUCCGCUGUAAUUUGUUGAUCCACAACUAAUAAUUUUGUGAAAUAUAAACAAAGUCUUUUUUACUCACACAAUAAA
RNAcentral lists this long non-coding RNA (1157 nucleotides) under Anolis carolinensis (green anole). RNAcentral's name for it is "lncRNA (ENSACAG00000037900.1)". Lineage: Eukaryota; Metazoa; Chordata; Lepidosauria; Squamata; Anolidae. The record is from RNAcentral.